GAUGAACGCUAGCGGCAGGCUUAACACAUGCAAGUCGAGGGGUAACAGGAUUUAGUUUACUAGAUUGCUGACGACCGGCGCACGGGUGAGUAACGCGUAUACAAUUUACCUUUUACAGGAGAAUAGCCCAGAGAAAUUUGGAUUAAUGCUCCAUGGUAUUAGAUGGUCACCUGGCUAUUUAAUUAAAGUUUCGGCGGUAAAAGAUGAGUAUGCGUCCUAUUAGCUAGAUGGUAAGGUAACGGCUUACCAUGGCGACGAUAGGUAGGGGUCCUGAGAGGGAGAUCCCCCGCACUGGUACUGAGACACGGGACCAGACUCCUACGGGGAGGCAGCAGUGAGGAAUAUUGGUCAAUGGAGGCAACUCUGAACCAGCCAUGCCGCGUGCAGGAAGACUGCCCUAUGGGUUGUAAACUGC
This 415-nucleotide ribosomal RNA is filed under the name uncultured bacterium. RNAcentral describes it as "bacterial SSU rRNA". It matches the Rfam family "Bacterial small subunit ribosomal RNA", at positions 28 to 433 of the family's 1533-position model. The record is from RNAcentral.